UACGUAGGGGGCAAGCGUUAUCCGGAUUUACUGGGUGUAAAGGGAGCGUAGACGGCGAAGAAAGUCUGAAGUGAAAGCCCGCGGCUCAACCGCGGAAUGGCUUUGGAAACUUUUUUGCUGGAGUACCGGAGAGGUAAGCGGAAUUCCUAGUGUAGCGGUGAAAUGCGUAGAUAUUAGGAGGAACACCAGUGGCGAAGGCGGCCUGCUGGGCUUUUACUGACGCUGAGGCUCGAAAGUGUGGGGAGCAAACAGG
RNAcentral lists this ribosomal RNA (253 nucleotides) under uncultured Eubacteriales bacterium. RNAcentral's name for it is "uncultured Clostridiales bacterium partial 16S ribosomal RNA". It matches the Rfam family "Bacterial small subunit ribosomal RNA", at positions 524 to 776 of the family's 1533-position model. The record is from RNAcentral. Lineage: Bacteria; Bacillati; Bacillota; Clostridia; Eubacteriales.